Molecule: ribosomal RNA, 301 nt
Filed under: uncultured bacterium
Lineage: Bacteria
Description: partial 16S ribosomal RNA
Rfam family: Bacterial small subunit ribosomal RNA
Source: RNAcentral
CAGUCGCCACGGUAAUACGUAGGUGGCAAGCGUUGUCCGGAAUUAUUGGGCGUAAAGGGCUCGCAGGCGGUUUCUUAAGUCUGAUGUGAAAGACCGGGGCUCAACUUCGGGGUUGCAUUUGAAACUGUCCGGCUAGAGUGUCGGAGAGGUAAGCGGAAUUCCUAGUGUAGUGGUGAAAUGCGUAGAUAUUAGGAGAAACAUCGGUGGCGAAGGCGGCUUACUGGACGAUAACUGACGCUGAGGCUCGAAAGCGUGGGGAGCAAACGGGAUUAGAUACCCCCGUAGUCCCUGUCUCUUAUAC